GUUAGUCGUGCUAAAAGAAGAGGCUGAAAUAGAAGUUUGUUUAGUAGCUUUAAGAUUUUAGAAGCUACUCGUAUCUACUUUAAAAGCAGCUCGUACUUCUUCGGCUAUAAUUGACUGUGAAACUUACUUCAGUGACUUCUGGAAUCGGGAAAGAUGCCAAUCUAUCCCUUUUUCAGCGAUGGACUACGACGAGACUGUAUGGACGCGCCCUCCAGUAUCCUGCUGAAGUACGCGACCCUGGGACUGAGGGCGGCGCGCCGGCCCCCCGCCGGGCCCAGGCCCCCCGCCGGGUCCAGGCCCCCUGCCGGGUCCAGGCCCCCCGCCGGGACCAGGCCCCCCGACGAUCCCAGGCCCCCCACCGAACCCAAGCCCUACAGGUUCAUUUACAAGAUGUCCCCUCACGGAAGCCAUCCCGCCGUGAAGGUGGAGGUAAAGGAAGAAGAGCAGGAGAAGCCUUCGCCGGACUUCACACCCUGCCCCUGCCGCUCGCAGCUGCGGAUCAAAGGAGAAGGCGUGGCCCCCGAUGCGGUCGUAGUGCAUAAUGCCGGCGACCAGAGCGCCCACCUGAGUGAUGUUUUUGAGGUGAUCUCGCAGGCGGACCCGUCGUUCGGCGCGGGCGCAGCGGGCGACGCGCACGGCAUGAUGGCGCAGGCCCCGGCGCCCUACGCGUACAUCAUCGAGCAACCCGCGCCCAAGUCGCUCAGGUUUCGCUACGAGUGCGAAGGGCGGUCAGCGGGUUCGAUUCCCGGCGUGAACAGCACGCAAGAGAACAAGACGUUCCCCACGAUCAAGGUCUGCGGCUACAAGGGCUGCAUGGUCAUCGUGGUGUCAUGUGUCACCAAGGAGGAGCCCUACAAGCCGCACCCCCACAACCUGGUGGGGCGCGACUGCCAAAUGGGCGUGUGCACGGUGAAGGUGCGCACCGAGGGCGACGCCGACGCCUGCCAGGUGCAGUUCAAGAACCUCGGCAUCCAGUGCGUCAAGCGCCGCGACAUCGCCGACGCGCUGCGCACGCGCCAGGAACUGCGCGUCAACCCCUUCAAGACGGGCUACGCGCACCGAAGCCAGCCGCAGAGCAUCGACCUGAACGCGGUGCGGCUGUGCUUCCAGGUGUUCCUCACCGACGACGCCUACAAGGUGCAGCGUGCGCUGCCGCCCGUCGUCUCUGACGUCAUCUACGACAAGAAGGCCAUGUCUGACCUGCUUAUAGUGCGCUCCAGCCAUUGCUCUGGAAGCGUCAAGGGCGGGACCACCGUCAUCCUGCUGUGCGAGAAGGUGACGCGUGAGGACACAGAAGUGUGGUUCUUCUUAGAAGAGAACGGCGCAGUGGUGUGGUCAGAGCGUGGACAUAUCGACUACGUGCACAAGCAGCUCGCUAUAGUACUCAAGACGCCGCCUUACCGCGACCAACGUCUGGACCACCACGUUACUGUCCAGUUCCAGCUGCAGCGGCUGUCGGACGGCGCCAAGAGCAACGCCUACAGCUUCGAGUACAUCCCCAACGUGCAAGAUAAAGAGAUAAUACUAGGCCAUAAGCGACGGAAGAAACUGUCGUACAAUUUACAGGAAUACGAUGAGAGGUCCAUGGAGAUGGCGAUCAAGGCCGAACCGCACGACCGCACGCCGCCGCAUCCCAUGGCCGCUGCCUACGCUGACCAGCCACAAUGGCGCGCGGAGAUGGUGGGCGGCGCCCAACUAGGCCACGCCUACGCGCCGCAAGUAAGCUGGCAGAGCCCGCCCUACGCGCCGCCCUCGCCGCAUCUGCAGCCUUCGCCCAUGCAUCAGCAACCCUCGCCCAUGCAUCAGCAGCCCUCGCCGAUGCAUCAGCAACCAUCGCCGAUGCAUCAGCAACCCUCGCCGAUGCAUCAGCAACCCUCGCCCAUGCAUCAACAACCCUCGCCGAUGCAUCAACAACCCUCGCCUAUGCAUCAGCAACCCUCACCCAUGCAUGUACAGCAGGUGGUGUCGCCGGGGCUGCACCCGACGUCGCCCUACGCUGUGCACUUGCUCGGCGCACAGCAGAUGCAGCAUCAGCAGCAGAUGCAUAUGCAAUCGCUGCAGGUGGGCGCGGCGUCGCCCAUGGGCGCCUCGCCCGCUGCUUCUCCCGCGCUCAUGCAGCCAGGAGCCAUGAGCAUGCCGAUGGGGCUGCAGCCUACUAUGGACCCCGUCAUGGCUGACUUGGGCGCGCCCACAUACACGCAGAUGGACAGCACGGUGAACAGCACGCCGUCGCUGACGUCGCUGCUGCAGCAGGCCGGUGACGAUGACGUCAGCUACACCUCCGGCGACCUCGCGCACCUGUCCAGCCUGCUGGCCGACCGCCACGACCUGUCCGACUCCCUCACGCGUCUGUCCACGCGCGACCUGCUGCAGCCCUAGCGUGAGUACACAGCACCUGCUGCAGCCCUAGCGUGAGUACACAGCACCUGCUGCAGCCCUAGCGUGAGUACACAGCACCUGCUGCAGCCCUAGCGUGAGUACACAGCACCUGCUGCAGCCCUAGCGUGAGUACACAGCACCUGCUGCAGCCCUAGCGUGAGUACACAGCACCCGCUGCAGCCCUAGCGUGAGUACACAGCACCUGCUGCAGCCCUAGCGUGAGUACACAGCACCUGCUGCAGCCCUAGCGUGAGUACACAGCACCUGCUGCAGCCCUAGCGCCGUUCAGCCGAUCCAGAUUAUCUGUUGUGAAGAGUCAUCUCGUUCCUUCCCAAAUGCGGUAAAUACCACAUCGGAGGCAAACUAUUCCAGCUUCGAAGAAAGGAGACUAGAGAUGUUUAUUUGAUAAUGUUCAUCGAUAUCGAUGUUGGGAUUAGUUAGGCGAGUUUAUCACUUACUGCAUUUAAGACUAAAACCAGAAAACUAAAAAAAAAGAGACAUUUCGCUAAUUGUUCGUUCGGAUUCUAAAACCA
Ostrinia furnacalis (Asian corn borer) is the source of this 2912-nucleotide RNA transcript. It is a transcript of the gene named embryonic polarity protein dorsal, with no coding region annotated. The transcript has 17 exons. NCBI's taxonomy places the organism in Eukaryota, Metazoa, Arthropoda, Insecta, Lepidoptera, Crambidae. The record is from RefSeq and is a predicted model, not a curated record.